AAAAAAAAAAAAAAUUCUUGGGCUCAACUUGAAUCGAUGUGAAGAGGAAAGAUGGAGUCGGUUUUGUGGCACAACAGAGGAGUCAUAGCAGUCGAAUUAGGCAUCAUGGCGUGGGUUGGGUGAGAAGAAACUGAGGUCUGAGAGCAGGGAAUGGCAUCGUCAUCAUGGGUGGUUGUGUGAGACUUGAGAGGGUGAGAGUGAGAAUCGAGAGGAAGGGGAUAAGUGAGACUGUUAGAGUGAGGAAGAACUGAGUGAGACGCAGGAAGAAUGAGUGAGAGACUGAGAUAUGAGAGGUGAAGGGCACUGAAGAGUGGAGUGGACAGCUGGGCCUGGGCUUAGGAAAAUAGACAGCAGGCCUGGGCUAAUAUGAAAGUAUGGCCCAAUUUAGGUUGAUAAAUAAAUAUCUACAGUUAAUCCUAUAAUUUGUGCAUGAUUCUAACAUCAAUAAUCUGCAUGAUUGUAGCCUGAGAUACAUAAUAGGAUCCCUUAAUUUUAGCUAAUGAUUUCACAGCAUGCAAGCCAGGAAAUGUAAACAGUAACAGUUUUCUAAGUCUUUGAAUUCUGCUAGAAAACAAACAGCCAAUUGCAAUUAAAACUAUAAGUUCUGUAUUAGAAAUUUAUGAAUAUACAUAAAAAAGCCAAACUAAUUUUGAUAUCCUGACCCUUGUCUAUGUUAGAAAUAUGACAUUCUAUCCAUAUCCUUAAGUUGUGUUUGACAGCAAAGUCUCAUUUCUUGUGCAAAACUGCUUUUUGUUUAUUCAGAUAAUUAAAAGUGAAAAAGUAGAGAAAGAGAGAGCCAAACAAAAAUAAAAAUUAAAAAGAGUAAAAAUAAAAUUUUGCACAUAAAUUGAUAAGAAUUUAUCAGACCAAAUCUUAAUGUUUAACUGCCCUCAUGUGAUAUCUUUCACGGAUGCAUAAUAUGUUUGCUGUGAGAGCAUUAUUGUUACUAGUUACAAGCUAUGGUACUUAUGCUAAUACACAGUGACAGUGUCUAGCAU
Molecule: unclassified non-coding RNA, 998 nt
Filed under: Hevea brasiliensis (rubber tree)
Lineage: Eukaryota; Viridiplantae; Streptophyta; Magnoliopsida; Malpighiales; Euphorbiaceae
Source: RNAcentral